UCUUUUAGAAGAUUCCAGGAUGUGUCAGUGUGAGUGUCCGAAGACUGCCCCAACAGCAGCACCCUACAUGCCCCGUUGUGCAUGGCACGGUUGCAGGUUAACGGUGCUUAUUGCUCCACAAUUCCGAGCAAGCGCACUGAGCCCUUCCGGUCUGCGGAAUGCAAACCACUGUGAGGCCACGGCUCAGCGUAGCCUUCCUCUUUCACAGCUGUGUCGCGCUUCCCCAGGACACCCUCCUAGUCAACUUGCUGGUUGUGCUUUCGUCAACUUGACACGACUCCAGACAUGUCUGGGAAGAGGGAACCUCAAAUGAGAAAAGACCUCCAUUUUGACAAGUCUGUGGGUUAUUGUCUUGAUUGAUGAAGGGCCCAGCUCCGUGUGGGCAGCGUCAUCUCCCGAUGAGACGUUUCUGGGAGCUAUUAGACAGCAGCAUAAGUAAGUCAGACAGAGCGAGUCAAGAAGCAGUACUCUUCAUGGCUCCUGCUCCAGUUCCUGCCUCCGAGUUCCUGCCCUGGGUUUUCCCAGAGAUGGACCUCCGCACUGCAAGGUGAAAUAAACUCUUUCCUCCUCAAGUUA
This is a long non-coding RNA of Mesocricetus auratus (golden hamster), 576 nucleotides long. RefSeq lists it as uncharacterized. The record is from RefSeq and is a predicted model, not a curated record. Lineage: Eukaryota; Metazoa; Chordata; Mammalia; Rodentia; Cricetidae. The transcript is spliced from 2 exons.